AACGAACGCUGGCGGCAGGCCUAACACAUGCAAGUCGAACGAUCUCUUCGGAGAUAGUGGCAGGACGGGUGCGUAACACGGUGGGAACGUACACUUGGGGUAGGGGAUAACGACUGGAAACGGUCGCUAAUACCUUAUAGUCCCUUCGGGGUAAAGAUUUAUCGCCCAAGGAUCGGCCCGCGCUUGAUUAGCUAGUUGGUGAGGUAAAAGCUCACCAAGGCGAUGAUCAAUAGCUGGUCUUAGAGGAUGAUCAGCCACACUGGGACUGAGACACGGCCCAG
Molecule: ribosomal RNA, 281 nt
Filed under: uncultured bacterium
Lineage: Bacteria
Description: partial 16S ribosomal RNA
Rfam family: Bacterial small subunit ribosomal RNA
Source: RNAcentral